AGUUAUUUUGGCUGUGACAUCUUCUGCCAGGACUGGGCUGUUAUGACUGUCUGGGCAGUGUCCCCUUCCUUCCUGAUUGCUCUUUGUCAUCCCUCCCCAAGCUGCAUUCUGUUUUGAAGAAGGUGACCUUUCCCCCACAGAGGAGGAACAAUCUUCUGCUGUACUGUCAAGGGGAUACAAGCAGUUAGGCUCCUUGCCUGAACCAUCAAACAAGUUCUCAAAAUGCCUGGAACUAGUCUGCUUAUUGUUCAGUUUUCAUUGAAACCUUUCACCCAAAAUUAUAGAACACUGUUUAUGUGUCAAAUAUU
Molecule: small RNA, 308 nt
Filed under: Mesocricetus auratus (golden hamster)
Lineage: Eukaryota; Metazoa; Chordata; Mammalia; Rodentia; Cricetidae
Description: 7SK RNA (ENSMAUG00000003241.1)
Rfam family: 7SK RNA
About the family: 7SK was discovered as an abundant small nuclear RNA in the mid-70s but a possible function has only recently been suggested.
Source: Rfam by way of RNAcentral